UACGGAGGGUGCAAGCGUUAUCCGGAUUUACUGGGCUUAAAGGGUGUGUAGGCGGAUCUUUAAGUCAGGGGUGAAAUCCUGGAGCUCAACUCCAGAACUGCCUUUGAUACUGGGGAUCUCGAGUCCGGAAGAGGUGAGUGGAACUCCGAGUGUAGAGGUGAAAUUCGUAGAUAUUCGCAAGAACACCAGUGGCGAAGGCGGCUCACUGGCCCGGUACUGACGCUGAGGAGCGAAAGCGUGGGGAGCGAUCCGG
This 253-nucleotide ribosomal RNA is filed under the name uncultured bacterium. RNAcentral's name for it is "partial 16S ribosomal RNA". It matches the Rfam family "Bacterial small subunit ribosomal RNA", at positions 524 to 776 of the family's 1533-position model. The record is from RNAcentral.